UAUUGGGCGUAAAGCGUUCGUAGGUGGUUUUGUAAGUCUGCCGUUAAAGCAUGGAGCUUAACUCCAUAUCGGCGGUGGAAACUGCGAGACUAGAGUGUGGUAGGGGUAACAGGAAUUCCCAGUGUAGCGGUGAAAUGCGUAGAUAUUGGGAAGAACACCAGCGGCGAAAGCGUGUUACUGGGCCACAACUGACACUGAGGGACGAAAGCUAGGGGAGCGAAAGGGAUUAGAUACCCCUGUAGUCCUAGCCGUAAACGAUGAACACUAGGUGUUGUCCGUAUCGACCCGGACAGUGCCGUAGCCAACGCGUUAAGUGUUCCGCCUGGGGAGUACGCACGCAAGUGUGAAACUCAAAGGAAUUGACGGGGGCCCGCACAAGCGGUGGAGUAUGUGGUUUAAUUCGAUGCAACGCGAAGAACCUUACCAGGGUUUGACAUCCUCGGAAUCUUCUGGAAACGGGAGAGUGCCUUCGGGAACCGAGAGACAGGUGGUGCAUGGCUGUCGUCAGCUCGUGUCGUGAGAUGUUGGGUUAAGUCCCGCAACGAGCGCAACCCACGUUUUUAGUUGCCAGCAUUCAGUUGGGCACUCUAGAGAGACUGCCGGUGAUAAACCGGAGGAAGGUGUGGAUGACGUCAAGUCAGCAUGCCCCUUACAUCCUGGGCUACACACGUACUACAAUGCUACGGACAGAGGGCAGCCAACCAGCGAUGGUGCGCAAAUCCCAUAAACCGUAGCUCAGUUCAGAUUGCAGGCUGCAACUCGCCUGCAUGAAGGCGGAAUCGCUAGUAAUCGCAGGUCAGCAUACUGCGGUGAAUACGUUCCCGGGCCUUGUACACACCGCCCGUCACACCAUGGGAGUUGGUCACGCCCGAAGUGGUUACCCUAACCGUAAGGAGGGGGAC
This 902-nucleotide ribosomal RNA is filed under the name uncultured bacterium. RNAcentral's name for it is "bacterial SSU rRNA". It matches the Rfam family "Bacterial small subunit ribosomal RNA", at positions 552 to 1454 of the family's 1533-position model. The record is from RNAcentral.